RNAcentral lists this ribosomal RNA (505 nucleotides) under uncultured bacterium. RNAcentral describes it as "bacterial SSU rRNA". It matches the Rfam family "Bacterial small subunit ribosomal RNA", at positions 38 to 518 of the family's 1533-position model. The record is from RNAcentral.
GGCGGCGUGCUUAACACAUAGCAAGUCGAAACGGCGAAAGGGACUUCGGUCCUGAGUAAAGUGGCGGCACGGGUGAGUAACGCGUAGAUAACCUGUCUUCAUGUCUGGAAUAAUACGCCGAAAGGGGUACUAAUACCGGAUAUUCUUGCUUUUCAUAAGUUAUGCAAGCAAAGGUGGCCUCUGCAUAUGCUACUGCAUGAAGAGGGGUCUGCGUACCAUUAGCUAGUAGGUGGGGUAAUGGCCUACCUAGGCGACGAUGGUUAGCGGGUCUGAGAGGAUGAUCCGCCACACUGGCACUGGAACACGGGCCAGACUCCUACGGGAGGCAGCAGUGAGGAAUAUUGCGCAAUGGGGGAAACCCUGACGCAGCGACGCCGCGUGAAGUGAGGAAGGCCUUCGGGUCGUAAAGCUCUGUCAAGAGGAAAGAAGUGUACAAUGGCUAAUACCUGUUGUAUUUGACGGUACCUCUAAAGGAAGCACCGGCUAACUCCGUGCCAGCCGCCGC